GAAUUGAAAGCUAAAAUAUAUAAGCACUGAUCUUGUAAAUCAAAGAUAGAGUUAUAUCUCAAUUCU
RNAcentral lists this transfer RNA (66 nucleotides) under Dendrobaena tellermanica. RNAcentral describes it as "tRNA-Thr". The record is from RNAcentral. Lineage: Eukaryota; Metazoa; Annelida; Clitellata; Crassiclitellata; Lumbricidae.